This 235-nucleotide ribosomal RNA is filed under the name Vibrio sp. UCD-FRSSP16_10. RNAcentral's name for it is "partial 23S ribosomal RNA". It matches the Rfam family "Bacterial large subunit ribosomal RNA", at positions 1 to 231 of the family's 2925-position model. The record is from RNAcentral. Lineage: Bacteria; Pseudomonadati; Pseudomonadota; Gammaproteobacteria; Vibrionales; Vibrionaceae.
GUUGUAUGGUUAAGUGACUAAGCGUACACGGUGGAUGCCUUGGCAGUCAGAGGCGAUGAAAGACGUAAUAACUUGCGAUAAGCCCAGAUUAGGUAGUAAUAACCAUUUGAGUCUGGGAUUUCUGAAUGGGGAAACCCACGUGCAUAAGCACGUAUCGUUAUGUGAAUACAUAGCAUAACGAGGCAAACCCGGGGAACUGAAACAUCUAAGUACCCGGAGGAAGAGAAAUCAACCG